Molecule: ribosomal RNA, 650 nt
Filed under: uncultured fungus
Lineage: Eukaryota; Fungi
Description: eukaryotic LSU rRNA
Rfam family: Eukaryotic large subunit ribosomal RNA
Source: RNAcentral
ACCCGCUGAACUUAAGCAUAUCAAUAAGCGGAGGAAAAGAAACCAACAGGGAUUGCCUCAGUAACGGCGAGUGAAGCGGCAAGAGCUCAAAUUUAAAAGCCGACGUAGCUUUAAGAGACGUCCGCAUUGUAAUUUGAAGAGGCAUUCUCGGGUCGGGGCUCAGGCCUAAGUUCCUUGGAAGAGGGCGUCGUGGAGGGUGAGAACCCCGUUCGCGGCCUGCUGUCGACCUUUCCCCGAUCCGCACGAGGUGCCAUCGAAGAGUCGAGUUGUUUGGGAAUGCAGCUCAAAGCGGGUGGUAAAUUCCAUCUAAAGCUAAAUAUUGACGGGAGACCGAUAGCGAACAAGUAGAGUGAUCGAAAGAUGAAAAGCACUUUGGAAAGAGAGUUAAACAGCACGUGAAAUUGUUGAAAGGGAAGCGCUUGAGACCAGUCACGGACCGAGGCGAUCAGUGGGACGUCCCUCUCGGGGGAGGAACCGCGCACUCGCUUUUCGGGUUUUCCGGGUCAACAUCGGUUGGGACGGUGUCAGAAAGGUCGCGGGAACGUGGCUCCCUUCACGGGGAGUGUUAUAGCCCGUGGCGUCAAAGUCGCCAGUUUCGACCGAGGACCGCGCUCGUCUUUUUCGAGCAAGGAUGUUGACGUAAUGGUCCC